Molecule: ribosomal RNA, 497 nt
Filed under: uncultured bacterium
Lineage: Bacteria
Description: partial 16S ribosomal RNA
Rfam family: Bacterial small subunit ribosomal RNA
Source: RNAcentral
GACGAACGCUGGCGGCGUGCCUAAUACAUGCAAGUUGAGCGCUGAAGGUUGGUACUUGUACCAACUGGAUGAGCAGCGAACGGGUGAGUAACGCGUGGGGAAUCUGCCUUUGAGCGGGGGACAACAUUUGGAAACGAAUGCUAAUACCGCAUAAAAACUUUAAACACAAGUUUUAAGUUUGAAAGAUGCAAUUGCAUCACUCAAAGAUGAUCCCGCGUUGUAUUAGCUAGUUGGUGAGGUAAAGGCUCACCAAGGCGAUGAUACAUAGCCGGCCUGAGAGGGUGAUCGGACAAAUUUGGACUGAGACACGGCCCAAACCCCUACGGGAGGCAGCAGUAGGGAAUCUUCGGCCAUGGACGAAAGUCUGAACGAGCAACGCCGCGUGAGUGAAGAAGGGUUUCGGAUCGUAAAACUCUGUUGGUAGAGAAGAACGUUGGUGAGAGUGGAAAGCUCAUCAAGUGACGGUAACUAACCAGAAAGGGACGGCUAACUACGUG